This is a microRNA precursor of Astatotilapia calliptera (eastern happy), 67 nucleotides long. The record is from Ensembl. NCBI's taxonomy places the organism in Eukaryota, Metazoa, Chordata, Actinopteri, Cichliformes, Cichlidae.
CCCCUAUCAGUAUUGCCUCUGCUUUCACUAGAGUUAACAGAGUAGUGCAAUAUUGCUUAUAGGGUCU